GGCUAGAAAUAGGCCUGUUAGAAUUUGUAGAAUUAAGCACACUCCGAGGAGGGAUCCGAAGUUAUGAUA
Molecule: transfer RNA, 69 nt
Filed under: Melursus ursinus (sloth bear)
Lineage: Eukaryota; Metazoa; Chordata; Mammalia; Carnivora; Ursidae
Description: tRNA-Glu
Source: RNAcentral